Molecule: ribosomal RNA, 2948 nt
Filed under: Klebsiella pneumoniae
Lineage: Bacteria; Pseudomonadati; Pseudomonadota; Gammaproteobacteria; Enterobacterales; Enterobacteriaceae
Description: partial 23S ribosomal RNA
Rfam family: Bacterial large subunit ribosomal RNA
Source: RNAcentral
GGUUAAGCGACUAAGCGUACACGGUGGAUGCCCUGGCAGUCAGAGGCGAUGAAGGACGUGCUAAUCUGCGAAAAGCGUCGGUAAGGUGAUAUGAACCGUUAUAACCGGCGAUGUCCGAAUGGGGAAACCCAGUGCAAUUCGUUGCACUAUCGUUAACUGAAUACAUAGGUUAACGAGGCGAACCGGGGGAACUGAAACAUCUAAGUACCCCGAGGAAAAGAAAUCAACCGAGAUUCCCCCAGUAGCGGCGAGCGAACGGGGAGCAGCCCAGAGUCUGAAUCAGCUUGUGUGUUAGUGGAACGGUCUGGAAAGUCCGACGGUACAGGGUGAUAGUCCCGUACACCAAAAUGCACAGGUUGUGAACUCGAAGAGUAGGGCGGGACACGUGGUAUCCUGUCUGAAUAUGGGGGGACCAUCCUCCAAGGCUAAAUACUCCUGACUGACCGAUAGUGAACCAGUACCGUGAGGGAAAGGCGAAAAGAACCCCGGCGAGGGGAGUGAAAAAGAACCUGAAACCGUGUACGUACAAGCAGUGGGAGCACCUUCGGGUGUGACUGCGUACCUUUUGUAUAAUGGGUCAGCGACUUAUAUUCUGUAGCAAGGUUAACCGUAUAGGGGAGCCGCAGGGAAACCGAGUCUUAACUGGGCGUUAAGUUGCAGGGUAUAGACCCGAAACCCGGUGAUCUAGCCAUGGGCAGGUUGAAGGUUGGGUAACACUAACUGGAGGACCGAACCGACUAAUGUUGAAAAAUUAGCGGAUGACUUGUGGCUGGGGGUGAAAGGCCAAUCAAACCGGGAGAUAGCUGGUUCUCCCCGAAAGCUAUUUAGGUAGCGCCUCGUGAACUCAUCUUCGGGGGUAGAGCACUGUUUCGGCUAGGGGGUCAUCCCGACUUACCAACCCGAUGCAAACUACGAAUACCGAAGAAUGUUAUCACGGGAGACACACGGCGGGUGCUAACGUCCGUCGUGAAGAGGGAAACAACCCAGACCGCCAGCUAAGGUCCCAAAGUCAUGGUUAAGUGGGAAACGAUGUGGGAAGGCACAGACAGCCAGGAUGUUGGCUUAGAAGCAGCCAUCAUUUAAAGAAAGCGUAAUAGCUCACUGGUCGAGUCGGCCUGCGCGGAAGAUGUAACGGGGCUAAACCAUGCACCGAAGCUGCGGCAGCGACACGAUGUGUUGUUGGGUAGGGGAGCGUUCUGUAAGCCUGCGAAGGUGUGCUGUGAGGCAUGCUGGAGGUAUCAGAAGUGCGAAUGCUGACAUAAGUAACGAUAAANACCUGUGAGGGUUGCUGGAGGUAUCAGAAGUGCGAAUGCUGACAUAAGUAACGAUAAAGCGGGUGAAAAGCCCGCUCGCCGGAAGACCAAGGGUUCCUGUCCAACGUUAAUCGGGGCAGGGUGAGUCGACCCCUAAGGCGAGGCCGAAAGGCGUAGUCGAUGGGAAACAGGUUAAUAUUCCUGUACUUGGUGUUACUGCGAAGGGGGGACGGAGAAGGCUAUGUUAGCCGGGCGACGGUUGUCCCGGUUUAAGCAUGUAGGCUGGUUAUCCAGGCAAAUCCGGAUAAUCAAGGCUGAGGUGUGAUGACGAGGCACUACGGUGCUGAAGUAACAAAUGCCCUGCUUCCAGGAAAAGCCUCUAAGCAUCAGGUAACAUCAAAUCGUACCCCAAACCGACNAAGUAACAAAUGCCCUGCUUCCAGGAAAAGCCUCUAAGCAUCAGGUAACAUCAAAUCGUACCCCAAACCGACACAGGUGGUCAGGUAGAGAAUACCAAGGCGCUUGAGAGAACUCGGGUGAAGGAACUAGGCAAAAUGGUGCCGUAACUUCGGGAGAAGGCACGCUGGUGUGUAGGUGAAGUCCCUGCGGAUGGAGCUGAGACCAGUCGAAGAUACCAGCUGGCUGCAACUGUUUAUUAAAAACACAGCACUGUGCAAACACGAAAGUGGACGUAUACGGUGUGACGCCUGCCCGGUGCCGGAAGGUUAAUUGAUGGGGUUAUCCGUAAGGAGAAGCUCUUGAUCGAAGCCCCGGUAAACGGCGGCCGUAACUAUAACGGUCCUAAGGUAGCGAAAUUCCUUGUCGGGUAAGUUCCGACCUGCACGAAUGGCGUAAUGAUGGCCAGGCUGUCUCCACCCGAGACUCAGUGAAAUUGAACUCGCUGUGAAGAUGCAGUGUACCCGCGGCAAGACGGAAAGACCCCGUGAACCUUUACUAUAGCUUGACACUGAACAUUGAGCCUUGAUGUGUAGGAUAGGUGGGAGGCUUUGAAGCGUGGACGCCAGUCUGCGUGGAGCCAACCUUGAAAUACCACCCUUUAAUGUUUGAUGUUCUAACGUUGGCCCCUGACCGGGGUUGCGGACAGUGUCUGGUGGGUAGUUUGACUGGGGCGGUCUCCUCCCAAAGCGUAACGGAGGAGCACGAAGGUUAGCUAAUCCUGGUCGGACAUCAGGAGGUUAGUGCAAUGGCAUAAGCUAGCUUGACUGCGAGCGUGACGGCGCGAGCAGGUGCGAAAGCAGGUCAUAGUGAUCCGGUGGUUCUGAAUGGAAGGGCCAUCGCUCAACGGAUAAAAGGUACUCCGGGGAUAACAGGCUGAUACCGCCCAAGAGUUCAUAUCGACGGCGGUGUUUGGCACCUCGAUGUCGGCUCAUCACAUCCUGGGGCUGAAGUAGGUCCCAAGGGUAUGGCUGUUCGCCAUUUAAAGUGGUACGCGAGCUGGGUUUAGAACGUCGUGAGACAGUUCGGUCCCUAUCUGCCGUGGGCGCUGGAGAAUUGAGGGGGGCUGCUCCUAGUACGAGAGGACCGGAGUGGACGCAUCACUGGUGUUCGGGUUGUCAUGCCAAUGGCACUGCCCGGUAGCUAAAUGCGGAAGAGAUAAGUGCUGAAAGCAUCUAAGCACGAAACUUGCCCCGAGAUGAGUUCUCCCUGAGACUUUAAGUCUCCUGAAGGAACGUU